RNAcentral lists this long non-coding RNA (568 nucleotides) under Felis catus (domestic cat). Its description in RNAcentral is "lncRNA (ENSFCAG00000041622.2)". The record is from RNAcentral. Lineage: Eukaryota; Metazoa; Chordata; Mammalia; Carnivora; Felidae.
AACUGAUAGCUAAAAUGAUAUUUAAUAGAAAUUCAUAUGGUAGAAUUUCAUUUUUUCUUUUCCAUUUAGUCAUCAAAACUACAUGAUAGACAGUAUAAAAUGAAAACAGAUGAAAUGAAUUUCCACAUGGGUUCUGCCAAGUUUCAUCUUCUCAGUGAGUCCUGAGGAAGUCCAGAAUCCAUUCCCGCAAGUAUGACUGGAAUCUGCAGAAUCUGUGAAUUACUUCUUCAUUCUGCCAACUGACAAACUGCUAAAUGUGCAGGAACACGAGGCAAUGGAAGGUACACAGCAUUUGUGGAUUUUUGCUACCAGGAAUGGUUUUGACUGUGUAAUAAGAGAUAUACAGUUGCUCUCCUCUAUCCAUGGGGAAAAGUGCCAAACAAAUGACAGGUGGUGAGAAUUGGGUACGUGACCAUGACUGCUUAUGCUAGUGUCAAAUGGACUGAUAAAGAGUUGAACAAUGAAUGAUUUUACUUUGCUUCCAACAAUAUCAAAGGCCAAGAAAUACAAAACUAACUAUUUUCCAGGCAGCAUACGUCCGGAAGGAUGGCAUUUGAUAACAGGUGCU